CCUGGAUUCAAGAGAUUCUCCUUGCCUUAGCCUCCUGAGUAGCUGGGAUUACAGGCACCCGUGAUGGUGUACUUCUCUGUGCCAUUAGCUAACGGCCAGUCUCCCCAGUUCCACAAGGGCAGAGACCCCAUCUGCCAAGGGAUGAGCUGGGCACAUUGCAGGAUUGAUCAUUAUUUGUUGCAUGAAUGAGUGAAAGAAUGAAUGCAUGCAUUCACUUUGGCUACACUGGGAGAAUGAGGUAGAGGUUAGCAAGCAAAGAUGCCAUCUAUGAACACUUAUGAGGCUUUUCUGGGACUGACCCAGGUCAGCGACGUGCAGGCUGUGAAUGUGGGUGGCAGGCGUGUGAAUUAAGACAAUGGACAUACUGAGGGGCUUGGGCAUUAAUUCUGAUGCAGGACUUACAGGACCUAAACCUACAACCUGCUGCAUUCUUCCCUUAUUUGAGCAUGGGCUAUAAGAGUAGAAGACCCAGAUCCUACCUACAGAAUUUUUUCCUCAGCCUAGAAACCCCCUGCCACCUUACACACCAAAAAAAAGUUGGAAAGUUGUUCUUCGAGUUGGGGAAGGGGAUAACCAGAGUGAGGGGUCUGGGCACAGCACAACCAAUCAGGAUGGCAGGCAGUAAGAGUGGACAAGGCUUUCACCCCUGGAACUUGCUUUGGGUGCAGAACACCUAGCAGGACCCCCAUGCUGACCCUCCUUUCCUUGCUUGCUGAUACACUUGGACAUGGCUUUUGGCCCCUGUCCACUCUUUUCUUGUUUCCUGAAGGCACCAACAGAUGCAAAGCCACCAUAUUAAAAGCUUUUAUGCCUGAAACUCUCCUCAACAAGGAAACAGAGCUAAGGACACAGGGCUGGACCACAUAGGACCACUGGUAGAGAUUGCUAAUUGUCCCACUCUCUCUAUUCUACCCUUCAUAACUAUUUGUAGAAUAAAGGGGCAUGUCACCUCUCAGUAUAAAACUACAUUUCCCAAACUCCUUUGCAGCUAGCAUGUGGUCACAUGAUCAAACUGUGGCCAAUGAGUGGAAGUGGAGUACACAACUUCCUAAGUCAGGCUCCAGGAAGGAAGCCCUUUUCUCUUCCUGCCCCUUGACAUGAAGAUGAAAUUGAAGUUGCAUGUUAACAAAGGCAGAGCAACAAGACAGAAAGAGUCUGGGUCCCUGAUAAUUAUGGGGCCACCAUUCCAGCACUAGGCCAUCCACCCAGAUUUUUAUGUAAGAGAAGUAAACUUGUGUUUAAGCCCUAUUCUUGUGGGUCUUUUCAUGCAGCAACCAGACUGAUAUCCUGACAAAUAUACAACCCAUUGUAGGAGGGAUAGGAAGGGCUCAGAGAAGGGGAUGUGGGUUGGAAACACACCUUAAAGUUGUGAGGAUUUGUGAAUCUCAGUUUGUAAAUUAAGGUAAUAACACCCAAUCAUUAGAUCACCCCUUUCUUCCCUCCCCAGCCUGGGAGAAUUUUUCUCUAUUCCAAGGGUGUUGGAGAAAGAAGAAUCCCCUCCUUCCUUUGCUGCUCCAAGAUAUUGUGUCUUUGCUCACAAAUCUGAAUUUUUCUAGGAGCUUAGGCAUUGAGAAGCAGAAGCCAGGAAGGUGGUAACAUACCUGUGUUUCCUGGACAGCCCCAUCCCAACAGGAUGGCAGACCUGGAACUUGCUCCUAAUCAAUAGAAUACAGCAAAGGCAUGGGAUGCAGGUGAUUCUGUGUACAUGGUUACGUAACUAAAUAGAUAAGAUUGUAGCACCUGUCUUGCUGGAGUGUUUCACACUCUUGCUGGCUUUGAUGAAGCAGGUGGCCAUUUGAGGCCCAACUGAGAGUGGCCUGUAAAACUGAGGGCAGCUGACAGCCAGCAAGAAAAUGAGCCUUCAGUCCUGUAAAUGCAAGGAACUGAAUUGUGCCAAGAGCUGCAUGAGCUUGGAAGCAGAUCCUUCCUCAGUCAAGCUUCCAGAUGAGGACCCAGUCCUGACCCAUACUUUGAUUGCAGGCUUGCAGAGGGCCCAGCUCAGCCAUUCCAAGAUUCUUGACCCACAGAAGCUGAGAGAAUACAUAUAUGCAUCGCCUGCCUCUGAAUUUGUGAUAAUAUUGUUCUGCAGAUAUCUAUAUCUAGCUAUCAUAAAUGAUGUAUGUAAACAACCACAUAUCACACAUUUGUUUGGCCAAGCAUGGUAUCCCAUCCCUCUGACCACGGUGAUUGGCACAGAUAAGGGCACUUGACAAAGCUAGGCCAAUCAGCCUUCUUCCCUGGGAUUUUGUAAACAAAGGCAGAGAAAAAGGAGCCUUGUCUUUCCUCUCCGCUUGCUCAGAUGGUAUGAAGUAAGUUUAUGGUUGUGAAAUUCAUGUUCUUCUCCUACAGCAUGGAGGAAACGCUACACAGCAGGAAAGAAUAAAACUGGCUCACAAAGAGGAGCCCUGAGACACACUGAAAAAGGCUGGUUGCCAUAAUCUGAGUAGCAGGGACUGCCACACCUGAGGCCAGCCCAGCCCUAGAUAUCCCAGGUACACGAGCCAUUAAAUUCCUCUUUUUGCUUGUCCUGGCUCCCAUUGUGUUCCCCGAGCUCCUGGAGGUCAGAGCAUCUGCCAACUUCCACAUAACGUCCCCAGAUGGCCCAGCUCAGAAAGUUUUUCCAGAAUAAGUAUAGUAAAUGGUGAAUGGAUGUGAGAACCUUACUAUAUGUCAAGGUCCCCAAAGAGCAUUCACUUAUAUGACCUUAUUUGAUCUUUACAAACAAUCCUGCAUAAUCAUUACUGCAUGAGUUAGAUGGUUUUGACCAUUAUUAUUGGGAAAACCCCAAUAAAAUGGCUUAAAUCAUAAGAGGAUUUACGAAUUCAUAUGAGAAUCUCCCCAGGGACAUUCCAGGCUCAUAAGUCCAUUCAGUUUUGCUUUCCUGUGAGUCUUACGGCUCCACACCUCUUGCCAUUGGCUUCAACCUGAGGUCAAUAUAAAGGUGGCAAGCAGCUCUGGGCAUCACAUGCAGACCUAGCAGUGCUCAGGGGAAGAGGAAUAACCAUCUCUUCCUUUCAUGUACUUUCUUCUUUUCAGACAUAUUUUUAAGUGAAAUUAUAUAUCUAUAUGUGUGUAUGUAUAUAUAUAUGUGUAUAUAUAUAUAUAUGUUGGUUUCAUUUUAGUUCUAGAGUCUUUUUUUUUUUUUUGAAAAAUGAUGUUAUUUUGCAGCUUACCCCCCUUGUGUUUCUAUCAGUUUUACAACAUUCUCUAAUUCAGUGGCUCUCAAGUGUGGUCUGGACCAUCAGCAUCACCAUCAUCUGGGAACUUACUUGCUACAAACACUUGAAUGAAUGCCUCCCAACCUGUUGACUCAGAAGCACUGAGAAUGGGCCUGACCAUCUGCAUUUUAGCGGGCCUCUGGGUGAUCCUGAUGUAUGCUCAAGUUUGAGAUCUACUGCUCUAAUUAACUUAUUUAUUUAUAUUUUUUGAGACAGAGCGAGAGCUCUGUUGCCUAGGCUGGAGUGCAGUGGUGUGAUCAUAGCUCACUACAACUUCAAAUGCCUGGGCACAAAAGAUCCUCCCACCUCAGCCCAAGUAGCUGGACUACAGGUGCACACCACCACACUCAGCUUAUUUUUUUUUAAAUAGAGACAGGGUCUCACUAUACUGCCCAGGCUGGUCUCAAACUCCUGGCCUCAAGAGAUCCUCCUGCCUCAGCCUCCCAAAGUGUUGGGAUUACAGGACAGGUGUGUACCACCACGCCAGCCCCCACUCUAAUUUAUUUAUCUAUUUCCCUGUUGACAUUCAAGUUGUUUCCAAUUUUUUGUUACCGGUGCUACCAUACAACCCUUUUUAAGUGCUUUUGCAUCCUGUAAGAACAUCUCUUCUCUCAAAUUUUUCCCGGUUAAUUUUUCAUGUUGACUUUUCCAGAUGAACUCUUCCAGAUGAGUGAGUCUGCUUGUAAAUUCCAGUCUCAGUGGGAUUACAUUGAAUAUAUGCUUUAAUUUGGGAAGGAUUGACAUCUUGACAAUAUUGAGUUUUUCCAUCAAAUAUUGAAAUCCUACAGGAUUUUUAAAGUAUAAGUCACACAAUUAUAUGUAAUUUAGGUAUGCUUUAUUAUUAUCCCAAAUGUAACAAUUGUAGAAGAUACUAUAAUGGUCUUCUCCUUUCACUGAAUUUUAUGAAAUUAGAAACAUAAUAAUGAAGGGUCAAGUGUAUGAUCUUCUUGUUUUUCUUGAGAUUGUCUCAUUUCUUAUGUUGGACUCUCAAUUGUUAUUCAGCUAUGCUUAUGUCUCUUUUUGAGAGCAAAGAAACCUUUCCCAGAAAUCCCCCUAAUAGACUUCCCAUGUUCUCUUGGCUAUGACAGUUUUAACAACGUCGCCCUUAAAUUAUACCCCUCCCUUUGAGACGUGAGGUCUAUACCCUCCCUUGAAUCUGAGCUAGGUGGGUCAAGUUCCUGCUUGACCAAUAAACUAGGACAAAAGUGACACUGCCAGUUUCUUAGGGCUCAGACCAUAAAAAACCAUCAGCUUCUACUUCUUGUCUCUUGGGACACUCACUUUUGGAACCCAGCCAAGCAGGGGUCCCCUGGCCCUCAGCCUAGGCUGGGUGACCAGUCUACAGCUGGCACAACUUGCCAGCCAUGUGAGUGAGCCCUCUUGGAAAUGGGCCCUUCAGUCCCAGUCAUCUUGGCCCACCUGACACCACAUGGCAGAGACAAGUCGUCCUCACUGAUUCCUGCCCCAAUUACAGUUGUGUUGAGCAAAAGAAAUGCUGUUAUUUUAAGUUUUGAAGUAGUUUGUUAGGCUGCAGUAGCUGACUGUGCCAAUGGCACAGCACACUUCGAUGCCUCAACCACUCACUGGUGUGAGGACUGGGACCUCUGUGAAUGACUUAAACCACCCAGAACCCUCCCCCAGAGGGUGGGGCUAGUGCUAUUAAUAGAACUGGGUUAGUUACCCUGUGGCUGGGCACAGUGGCUCACGCCAGUAAUUUCAGCACUUUGGGAGGCCGAGGCUGGCAGAUCACUUGAAGACAGGAGUUUGAGACCAGCCUGGUGGCCAACAUGGCGAAACCCUGUCUUUACUAAAAAUACAAAAAUUAGCCGGGUGAUAUGGCACAUGCCUGUAGUCCUAGCUACUCGAGAGGCUGAGGCAGGAGAAUUGCUUGAACUCGGGAGGUGGAGGUUGCAGUGAGCUGAGAUUGUGCCACUGCACUCCAGCCUGGGCGACAGAGUGAGACUCCAUCUCCCCCAAAAAAAGAAAAAUUAUCCUUGGGACUUUAAGUUGCUCAGCAAGUCAGUAUACAUAGUAUCAUAGUAUUGUGUAUACAACUCUUUACAGUAAUAUGCAUGUAUAAAUGUAUCAUGGAUAUAUAAUGUGUAGUAUGCAAGAAAGAGUGCAUAUUCAACUAUACUUGCACAGUAUUUUUUAUUAAAAACAUCUUGAGCGUGAAUCAUUACAUGACUGUCAAUUAAAUGCAUACAAGAUAAACACCACUGUAAAUGCUAGAAGAAGGACUCAAUCAUUGAAUAAACAAAGGAAUGAGCCUGG
Molecule: long non-coding RNA, 5492 nt
Filed under: Homo sapiens (human)
Lineage: Eukaryota; Metazoa; Chordata; Mammalia; Primates; Hominidae
Description: HSALNT0382979
Source: RNAcentral